CGGUUAGCUCAGCGGUAGAGCGUCUGCCUUACAAGCAGAGGGUCACAGGUUCAAAUCCUGUACCGC
This 66-nucleotide transfer RNA is filed under the name Heterosigma akashiwo. It matches the Rfam family "tRNA". From Rfam's summary of the family: Transfer RNA (tRNA) molecules are approximately 80 nucleotides in length. Their secondary structure includes four short double-helical elements and three loops (D, anti-codon, and T loops). The record is from RNAcentral. Lineage: Eukaryota; Raphidophyceae; Chattonellales; Chattonellaceae.